RNAcentral lists this ribosomal RNA (1617 nucleotides) under Enterobacter cloacae. RNAcentral's name for it is "bacterial LSU rRNA". It matches the Rfam family "Bacterial large subunit ribosomal RNA", at positions 588 to 2187 of the family's 2925-position model. The record is from RNAcentral. RNAcentral also lists the same sequence under 1 other name. Lineage: Bacteria; Pseudomonadati; Pseudomonadota; Gammaproteobacteria; Enterobacterales; Enterobacteriaceae.
GUGGUGUGACUGCGUACCUUUUGUAUAAUGGGUCAGCGACUUAUAUUCUGUAGCAAGGUUAACCGUAUAGGGGAGCCGAAGGGAAACCGAGUCUUAACUGGGCGUUAAGUUGCAGGGUAUAGACCCGAAACCCGGUGAUCUAGCCAUGGGCAGGUUGAAGGUUGGGUAACACUAACUGGAGGACCGAACCGACUAAUGUUGAAAAAUUAGCGGAUGACUUGUGGCUGGGGGUGAAAGGCCAAUCAAACCGGGAGAUAGCUGGUUCUCCCCGAAAGCUAUUUAGGUAGCGCCUCGUGAACUCAUCUUCGGGGGUAGAGCACUGUUUCGGCUAGGGGGCCAUCCCGGCUUACCAACCCGAUGCAAACUACGAAUACCGAAGAAUGUUAUCACGGGAGACACACGGCGGGUGCUAACGUCCGUCGUGAAGAGGGAAACAACCCAGACCGCCAGCUAAGGUCCCAAAGUCAUGGUUAAGUGGGAAACGAUGUGGGAAGGCACAGACAGCCAGGAUGUUGGCUUAGAAGCAGCCAUCAUUUAAAGAAAGCGUAAUAGCUCACUGGUCGAGUCGGCCUGCGCGGAAGAUGUAACGGGGCUAAACCAUGCACCGAAGCUGCGGCAGCGACGCUUAUGCGUUGUUGGGUAGGGGAGCGUUCUGUAAGCCGUUGAAGGUGUGCUGUGAGGCAUGCUGGAGGUAUCAGAAGUGCGAAUGCUGACAUAAGUAACGAUAAAGCGGGUGAAAAGCCCGCUCGCCGGAAGACCAAGGGUUCCUGUCCAACGUUAAUCGGGGCAGGGUGAGUCGACCCCUAAGGCGAGGCCGAAAGGCGUAGUCGAUGGGAAACAGGUUAAUAUUCCUGUACUUGGUGUUACUGCGAAGGGGGGACGGAGAAGGCUAUGUUAGCCGGGCGACGGUUGUCCCGGUUUAAGCAUGUAGGCGGAGGUUCCAGGUAAAUCCGGUACCUUUUAACGCUGAGGUGUGAUGACGAGGCACUACGGUGCUGAAGUAACAAAUGCCCUGCUUCCAGGAAAAGCCUCUAAGCAUCAGGUAACAUCAAAUCGUACCCCAAACCGACACAGGUGGUCAGGUAGAGAAUACCAAGGCGCUUGAGAGAACUCGGGUGAAGGAACUAGGCAAAAUGGUGCCGUAACUUCGGGAGAAGGCACGCUGAUAUGUAGGUGAAGCCCCUGCGGGUGGAGCUGAAAUCAGUCGAAGAUACCAGCUGGCUGCAACUGUUUAUUAAAAACACAGCACUGUGCAAACACGAAAGUGGACGUAUACGGUGUGACGCCUGCCCGGUGCCGGAAGGUUAAUUGAUGGGGUUAGCGGCAACGCGAAGCUCUUGAUCGAAGCCCCGGUAAACGGCGGCCGUAACUAUAACGGUCCUAAGGUAGCGAAAUUCCUUGUCGGGUAAGUUCCGACCUGCACGAAUGGCGUAAUGAUGGCCAGGCUGUCUCCACCCGAGACUCAGUGAAAUUGAACUCGCUGUGAAGAUGCAGUGUACCCGCGGCAAGACGGAAAGACCCCGUGAACCUUUACUAUAGCUUGACACUGAACACUGGUCCUUGAUGUGUAGGAUAGGUGGGAGGCUUUGAAGCGUGGACGCCAGUCUGCGUGGAGCC